This 1791-nucleotide ribosomal RNA is filed under the name Triticum aestivum (bread wheat). RNAcentral's name for it is "partial small subunit ribosomal RNA". The record is from RNAcentral. Lineage: Eukaryota; Viridiplantae; Streptophyta; Magnoliopsida; Poales; Poaceae.
AUGGGGCCCGCGGCGGGGGCUGUCAUCGAGAUCAUCUCGGACGACGACGAGAAGGGGGGUCCUUUUGCUGCCAAGCCGACCGCCGACGCCCUCGAGUGGGCCUCCAGCCUCCUUCUCGACGACCUCACUGGAUUGGGCGAGGGUUUAGACGACUCCGCGGUGAUACAGGAGCUCUUGUCCACUCUGGAGGGUGACAAGAAGGCUGCUGCUGACGACGACGACGACGACGACGACUGCGUGAUCCUGGACGGCGACCCCGACAAGCCCCUGGUCGAGAAGCCUGGGAAAGAUGGGGCAGAAGAAGACUUGCAGGUUCUUUCGGAGAAAGGGGAGGUAGCAUGCAGGGAUUUCCCCCAUCCACGUCAUCUAUGUGCUACAUUGCCUUUUGGAACUGGAUCUCAUGCAAAUCAUUGCACCAUGUGCCACUGUUAUGUUUGUGAUUCUCGUGCUCCAUGCCCCUGGUGGGGCAAAGGUACCAUGCCUACUGAUCAUUGCCAUGCUACGGAUAAGGAUGAAAAAUGGAAGAAACAGAGGCAGUCACUCAAACGCAAGAGCAUGCCACCAUCUAAGCGUGAAGGUGCCAAGAAAAUGUCUCUCUCAAGCUCAACAACACCAUCCUCUCAGCAAUUUACAGGGCAUCAGGUAUCAGCUGCACAACCAUAUGCACCUUUGGGGACAACCGUAAACCAACCUUCCGCGGCAAGGGUUCCUGUUGCAAGUAAUGUCAGCCAAAAUCAGCAAAGACAUCCAUCUGCUUUGGGGACAAGUGUAAACCAACCUUUCGCCGGAAGAGUUCCUGUUGCAAGUAAUGUCAGCAAAAAUCAACAACUGAAUCCACCUGCUUUGAGGACAACGGUAAACCAACCUUCCACCGGAAGAGUUCCUGUCGCAAGUAAUGUCAGCAGAAAUCAACAAUUGCAUCCAUCUGCUUUGAGGACAACUGUAAACCAACCUUCCACCGGAAGAGUUCCUGUUGCAAGUAAUCUCAGCCAAAAUCAACAAAUGCAUCCAUCUGCUAUGGCUGCACGGAAUGCGUGGAGAGCCGCCCAUCUGGCAAAAGCAUCAGCUCCUGCGCCAAAAAUCUCAGGCAAAACAGGGGCUGUUCCUACAGUUUAUACACCAUCAAAUGGCUAUGUUUACCCUGCUCUUCUUAACAAUGCCCCAAUGCAUCCAGCAACCCUGCGUGCAGUUCAGACAGUACAAGCGGCACCCGGAAGCAGGGUACUGCCAGGAGGUAACCUUAUUCAGGGUUUCUCCACUCAGCGUUCUCUUGCUGUGCCUGUGCAGGUUCGGCCAAUGCCACAUCCCCAGGCUGCUCCAAAUGGAUCGUUUGGUACUGCUGGAAUGCAACAGCUUCGUCAGUGCUCCACACGAGUAGCUCAGGCAACACAGGGAGUAACUCAGGCACCACAAGGCAUACAAGACGCAUCAGCUGUGCAGAAGUCAUGGCAGAUUGCACUUGCUAAUCUGGCCUCUGAUCUUGGUGUGUCUGACUACAAUGACGAACAACCGCCUGUUCAACAGUCUGUCAGCACUCAGCCUCUGCAUCCCAGCCAGCUACUUGCUCAACCAAAGGCAGUCAAGGGGCCUGAAACGCAUUGCAGCAGUAUUCCGGCGGCAGCGGACAUGAGGCCGUCUAAUGGUCAUCCCCAGCAGGAUAGCAAAUCUGCAGACAGUGCUAUUUCUAUGCAGAAAACACAAGCCUUGUGCGUACUGAAUUCCCAGAGCAGCCUUACCUCAACUGAAACUUCUCUGAAUAGCUUAGUAGCUAAACCUGCCAUGGAACAUUGA